CUCCAAACACCACCUUGCACAGAGCUGCUUUCCAGGGAGAUGCUCUGCCCACCCAACCAGGCCCAGCCAGACACCCCUUCUCUUGACUUUGGCCCCUCAAUGCUCAAUGCUUGAAUUGCACUUUCCACCUCUGAAUUGACAAGGACAGCUAACUCUAAGGUGAUCUGAAAAGGCCAAACUCUCUCAAUGACAUGGAAAGCAUAGCACACUUAUUAGAAGCAGUCUUAAGUAAAAAGUACAUUCUGAUCAACUACAUGUGAUACUUAGAGAAUCCUCGCUGUCAGCCUGGUGUUCUCUUCGACGGUCAUGGCUGGAGCUGGGGUCCUGCUCUGGACCUGCUCUGUCCUAGCUGUUCUCUGCUAACCGCUGACUCUUCCGUCAUUCUUUGCCAGGAUAUCCUCUGCUCUGAUCUGCUGCAGCCUAUACCAGGCUGAUUGACUGGUUUCCUAUCAGAGAGCUCUUAUAUACAUCAUCAGGUUCUCUUUCUUUCUGUCAGGAUCUGGUCAAGUUUUCUUCCUUAAAGCAAGGUUCUUAAAGAGCCCAAGAGUUCUACCAGUGUUUCUGAUGCUUCAGAUGCUUCUGUCCCUACUGUUACCACACAGAAGUUUUCUGAUGUAAGGGAUGGAGGAGGCACCCUCUUCUCAGUGGAAUCAGGCUCUAAGAAGGGCCUGUGUACACAGCUGGUGCAGCCUUCCUACAUAAUCCCAUCAUGCCUUCCUGGGGAGGGGUUUGUCAGCAUCCCUUUCAUUGACAGGAGAGAAAAAAAAUCACUUAAUCCUUCUAGUUUGAAAAUUCUCCCAUUGCCCACACAGCCCUUUCUUGCCGUGUCUUUCCUCCACUAUGAAAGGCUCACCUGGCUGUAGCUGUUGGCGUUUGGAAUGACUCACUUGCUCCUCUGCUGGAAUUUAACUGUUUGGUGAUUUACAUGUAGACUCUUGGAAUCCAAUCCAGAUUUGACUGGGCUUGUGAAAACCUGUAGUUCCAUCUUGGGGAAGUGGUUGAAACUGGAGAAGAAAGAAUCAACCAUGAGAAGUUGGUGGGAUUGUUGGAGAAAUCUCUCUGCUGAGGGUCCAUGGAGAAACUUCAUUUGGGGUAGCAAGGGAGGAGAAGAAGGACAGACAAAAGGGAAACACACACCCCCUCUGCCACCCCCAUCGUCCCUUGGAUCAAUGUUAGGAGAUGCUCAGAGCAGCUCUCCUGUAAUAAACUUUGCUCUGUGCUUGGCUUAUUUCCCCAAUGAGGUGAUUAAGCACAGAGGCACCAAUCUAGCUUCUGCUGGCGGAUCAUAUGAAUAAAGAAUUGGGAAUCAGAACCUGGAGCUGGCCAAUGCACAGUGUCUGUCACUGUGGUCUAGGGAAGAUGGCUGAGGCAGAACUGACCCCCCCGCCUUUUUUGCCAACAUGGAACCAAAGCGUGAUACAAUACAUGGCUGGGAACAUUAGAAAAUUAAAGGUGACUUUCCCACGCAGGAUUGCAAGCCAACAGCAGCUUGAGGAGUCUCAUGUAAUGGGUAUAUUGUCUCCAACAGGGGACCUUGAUGACUGAUAGGUGAAAAGCUGUGCCAUAGCCUGGAAUUAUUAUGCUUGAUCACAAAAGAGGACGAGAGUGACAGCGUGGUGAUCUAUUAGUGCUGUCUGUGGGGUUAAUGGUGAGUUUUCCUACUGCUAGUGGCUUAUAGAGAGAGCAAAGAAAAGGGAAAUGGUGCGGGGGAAAAUCAAUAGUAUUAGAGCCAUGAUAAUAAAUGCAGUCGUUUAUUUCUGAGAUGGUUUUUAUUGAAUUGGUUAUGAACUUGAUACUUUUUCCUUUUUGUUUGUAAGUUGGAGAAAAUGAGAAUUUGGGGAGGAAAAAAUCCAACUGUCUGGUAGACAUAGCAGCCAUUUGGGUCAGAUAAUGAUGGAAUCUUCACAGUCUUUGGAAAGAAGACCAAAUGGGAAAUGAAUAUCUAUGCAGACAGAGGAGAGCUCAGGAGAUGCUGGGGUUCCAGGGGAAAGAGUGUGAUCUUUGAUGUCAGAAAGACCUAUCUUUGAAUCCUGGUUCUGCCUGUUGUUAGCUGCAUGAUCAUUGGCAAGUUACUUAUCUGCAAAACAGGAGAAGUGUAUCUCUCUAGCCAGGGUGGUUAUGAGGUUCAAAGAGCAUCUGCGUAGUUGUAAAAGUAUCCAACAGAGCUCCCGUGGGAAACAGCUACUCUGUAAAUAAACCAUGUUGGCUGAUGCCAUCACCAUCUUGGAAUUCAUAUCUCAUUAUGGUCACCCAGUUCAAUGGCCUCUGAGUCACAGGCCGAGAAAGAAUUGCAUGAUGCAUUUAAUUUUUUGGGUCUGUUGAUAAACAAUAAUCACAUUCAUAUCAAUGAUUAAGAGUGAGCUCAAGUCUCUGAAAGAUAUAGAAAGUCCCUCCAAAAGAUAAUAGCAGGCCUUGGAAAUACCCCAGCAGAAGUGGAAGGAUCAGAUAUCACAGACACUGUAGAAAAGAUUACCUGGGUGGAUGGAAGGGAGGAAUAAGACUAUACAUAGAUUGGUGUUUUUUUGUUUUUGUUUUUUGGCAAAAUGAGGCUCAAAUUGUUAUUUUUUAAAAGCUAGAAAGAAUUCUUUUUUUUUGUAUAUGAAUACUGUAUUCAUUUCACUGUUUUCUCAUUCAUCAUGCAAAAGUUCCUGGGCCAGGGAUCAAACCCAUGCCACAGCAGUGACCUGAGCCACAGCAGUGACAACACCCUAUCCUUAACCUGCUGAGUCACCA
This 2733-nucleotide long non-coding RNA is filed under the name Sus scrofa (pig). Its description in RNAcentral is "lncRNA (ENSSSCG00025042424.1)". The record is from RNAcentral. Lineage: Eukaryota; Metazoa; Chordata; Mammalia; Artiodactyla; Suidae.